RNAcentral lists this unclassified non-coding RNA (309 nucleotides) under Hevea brasiliensis (rubber tree). The record is from RNAcentral. Lineage: Eukaryota; Viridiplantae; Streptophyta; Magnoliopsida; Malpighiales; Euphorbiaceae.
CGAAUCGAGACGGAUCCAAAUCCAAUAAAAAAAUACAUCAACCAUUUUCUGUGAAAGGGGGACAAAUAGCAGAAUUUCAUUCCAAAGGGGGAUCCUUCUUAUUUAUAUUUUCGUUUUUCAUUUCUCACAAAUACAAAUAUGGGAAUUUUCAUUUCUUCAACUAGUACCGAUUGAUAGAGACAUAUGUGGAUUAGUCAAAUUAUUGGUAGCGUCAUAUUCAGGAUUCCAAGAGAUACCGUACUGAGUUUGGCUUUUUCGAUUACUCCCGACCCGUGUAAUGAAAUCGAAUCGAGUACCAUAUCUUUCCCG